RNAcentral lists this transfer RNA (75 nucleotides) under Lachnospiraceae bacterium. RNAcentral describes it as "tRNA-Pro". It matches the Rfam family "tRNA". Rfam says of the family: Transfer RNA (tRNA) molecules are approximately 80 nucleotides in length. The record is from RNAcentral. Lineage: Bacteria; Bacillati; Bacillota; Clostridia; Lachnospirales; Lachnospiraceae.
CGGAAUGUGGCUCAGUUUGGCUAGAGCGUACGGCUGGGGGCCGUGAGGUCGCAGGUUCAAAUCCUGUCAUUCCGA